GGCUGGGCUACCGCGGCUGCAGAGGGACAUCUUUCAAGAACAGGCGCCGGCCUCGGCGUCCGCCGCGCAGUUAGGAAACUGACUGUCGCUCUCUCCGGCCUCGGCGCUGCUUCGGACGCCCCGGCACCGGCCCCCGUUGCUUUGUAGCAUUCUGCAGCUGGGCUGCAGGCGCCGUGGGCCUCCGCCAGUUGUGUUCGAGACGCGGUUCGGCCACAGAAGUUUUAGCUUGUGACUUUUGGCAAGUCAGUGGCCCUCUCUGGGCCUCAGGUGCCUUUUUUGCUGUGAGACCAGCGACUGUAUUUUUAACCCUGAUUUUAUCCCUAGAUCUACCCAACACAUAGUAGGUGCUCAAAAGAUAUUUAUGAGUGAAUGAAUGCAUCAUGAGAAGAAAUUGGACCAGAUGAGGCCCUGUGAAGCUGCUUGGGUCUUUUUUUGUUCUUUUUUUUUUCUCUCUUCUGAGUGUCCCUGGCCUGGACUAGAAAUUCUCCAUCCUUCGGCCUUCUGCGAGACUGCAGGAACAUUACUUUUGAAGGAUGCUAAGGAAUCCGAGGGAUGAAAAAAAUCAAGAGAUUGCAAUGAUGUCACAAAACAAGGAAACAAGUGCAGCAUCUUCACUCCGAAGCAGAAAUUUGCCAAAAAAGCAUCCUCUUUUUAUCAGAAAAUAAAAUAUCCUGGUUUCUUAGCCUGGCAUUCUUGGAUCCCCACAGUUUGAUCCCAACCGACAACUCCUUAUUUGAAACUUCAGAUUCUCCCAAACCGUCACCUUCCUCGUGGACUUAAUCCUGGAAGGCCCUUCUACCCCACUUCGCCUUAUCUCACACAAACACAGUCUCUCUCUGACUGAGAUAAACUUGAACACUUCUUUUCUUUUCUUUUUUUUUUUCUUUAAAUUUCGGGUUUCAAAAUACAAAUGGCCUAAUCACAACAUUUCUGUAAUGUUGUCUAAAUUCAGGUACUGGUUUGAAUAGAGGACAAAAAUAAAACAAGGUUUGAAGACUAAGUA
RNAcentral lists this long non-coding RNA (1003 nucleotides) under Homo sapiens (human). Its description in RNAcentral is "HSALNT0385383". The record is from RNAcentral. Lineage: Eukaryota; Metazoa; Chordata; Mammalia; Primates; Hominidae.